GGGUUGGUAGCUCAGCGGUAGAGCGUCGGAUUGCGUAGGUCUAAUCACAUCAACAACUUCCAGGUUCUGUCCACUAACAUCCAUCUGUAGAGAUCCGCAGGUCUCGAGUUCGAUCCUCGAUCGGCCCU
Molecule: non-coding RNA, 128 nt
Organism: Arachnomyces sp. PD_36
Lineage: Eukaryota; Fungi; Ascomycota; Eurotiomycetes; Onygenales; Arachnomycetaceae
Source: the annotation of a GenBank genome assembly